UACAGAGGUCUCAAGCGUUGUUCGGAUUCAUUGGGCGUAAAGGGUGCGUAGGCGGCGCGGUAAGUCGGGUGUGAAAUCUCGGAGCUUAACUCCGAAACUGCAUUCGAUACUGCCGUGCUUGAGGACUGGAGAGGAGACUGGAAUUUACGGUGUAGCGGUGAAAUGCGUAGAUAUCGUAAGGAGACCAGUGGCGAAGGCGGGUCUCUGGACAGUUCCUGACGCUGAGGCACGAAGGUCAGGGGAGCAAACGGG
RNAcentral lists this ribosomal RNA (252 nucleotides) under uncultured bacterium. RNAcentral's name for it is "partial 16S ribosomal RNA". It matches the Rfam family "Bacterial small subunit ribosomal RNA", at positions 524 to 776 of the family's 1533-position model. The record is from RNAcentral.